UUUUGAGAUGGCUUUUCCUACUUGAGCACAGCAGCUGCCGUUCUUCCUCUGGGUUCCUCAUCUAGGGCCUCCUUUCGGCUUUGAGUGAUUUAUUCACUCUCCGGAUCAUUUUGAUUUAUAUGGAAGCUUUUGGUUUCUAGGUUGUUAGAGUUUUUAGAAGGUUCUCUAGCAUUCUAGAAUUUGUUUCCUUGUAAUGAGUUUUUGUUGGAACGGUUUUGUACCGGAAAUGCCAAAGGGGGAGAUUGUUAAUGUAAUUGGCGAUUUCCGGAUGCGACAAACCGUUGGAGUCUGUAUUUAUUCUUUUUCCAUUUGGGUUGGGAGGUGAUUUUAUUUUGUUUAGAUUAGAUACUCCGCCCGUUGGUUCAAGAGUUGAUCACGAAGGCCGUGCCGUGCAUUUUGCUUGGAAAGGUAUAUGCAUCUCAUGUGCAUUUAGCUUAAUAUUUUUCCAUGCAUCAUUAAAGCUAUUCGGUGUCUUAAUCUUUUAUGAAAUAUCAUUUAUGCACUAACCUUAUAUUAUUGGCCUUGUUUUAUUUGAAGGGAAAUUUUGUCUAAGGCCUUUUUAAGUGCUUGCGCCUUAGUAGCGCCUUACCAGACUAAGGCCCUUGCACGCGUGUUAAGAGAGCCUUAGUAGUGCCUUAGCCGAAUAAGGCCCUUGUACGCGUGCUAAGAGCGCCUUUAGAGGGCUCUCCAGGAUUUUUCUUGCUUGGCCAUAUAUAAGCUUGUUUUUCAUUUUUCUAGGGCAAGAAGAGAUACAAGAGCCCACUUUAGAGAGAGAAAGCAUUGUCUUCUUCACUCUUGUGCCUUCAUUUGCUUUUGGAUGAUUUGAAUCUAGCAUUCAAUCAUCUUUGUUCAAUCUAGAGAAAUACUUUCUUGAUCCAUGUAUUCUCUCUAGGUUGAUUCUUUUGCAUAAAAAUCUUCACUUUACAAAAUCCAUACUUUCAUGCCAAUGAUGCUACUUGGCCGGAUGAUACCGGAGCCGUGGUGAACGGAGAUCGAGGCGUUGGACUCGUGGUGGCUAUGGGAUCAAGAAGGAGUUCGGGGAGCUACAUCAAAGUGGUGGAGUUAGGAUAAGCAUUUGGGGUAAAGUUGUUAUUCCACUCUUAGCACUUUGUAAACCUUUUGAUCUAUAGCAAUUUUGGUAGCUAGGCCGUGGUUUUAUGCUUAGGGUGUGAUUGACCCUAAGUAGUUUCCACGUAU
This is a long non-coding RNA of Rhododendron vialii, 1197 nucleotides long. RefSeq lists it as uncharacterized. The transcript has 2 exons. Lineage: Eukaryota; Viridiplantae; Streptophyta; Magnoliopsida; Ericales; Ericaceae. The record is from RefSeq and is a predicted model, not a curated record.